AGAUGAAGAAGAAGCUAGGGUUUCUCAAUUUCAGAAUACCGGACCCGAUUGGUCCAUUGAAAUUGGGGCUAUUGCUCUGAAUCUGUAAAUCGGGAGUGAUUAGUUUCGAAAUGGAAUUGAGGGAGGGAUCUGGAGAAGCCGAGAAGGAAUUGAAGAGGUCAACUGUAGGGUUUGGAAAUGUUCGUCGGGGAGAUCGUAGAAAUGAAUGAUCAGAAUGUGGAGAAGGGAUUCGGGAAAAGGGAUCGUGG
RNAcentral lists this unclassified non-coding RNA (248 nucleotides) under Hevea brasiliensis (rubber tree). The record is from RNAcentral. Lineage: Eukaryota; Viridiplantae; Streptophyta; Magnoliopsida; Malpighiales; Euphorbiaceae.